GGCGCGCCUAACACAUGCAAGUCGAACGAGAAAGUCCUUUUCGGAGGACGAGUACAGUGGCGAACGGGUGAGUAACACGUGGGUUACCUGCCCUUGAGUGGGGAAUAACUCCGGGAAACUGGAGCUAAUACCGCAUACGACCCUUCGGGGUGAAAGCUUUAUGCGCUCGAGGAUGGGCCCGCGGUCGAUUAGCUUGUUGGUGGGGUAAUGGCCUACCAAGGCUGCGAUCGAUAGCCGGCCGGAGAGGGCACACGGUCACACUGGCACUGAGACACGGGCCAGACUCCUACGGGAGGCAGCAGUGGGGAAUCUUGGACAAUGGGGGCAACCCUGAUCCAGCGACGCCGCGUGAUCGAUGAAGGCCUUCGGGUCGUAAAGAUCUUUCAGCGGGGACUAUCAUGAAGGUACCCGCAGAAGCAGGAGCGGCUAACUACGUGCCAGCAGCCGCGGUAAUAC
Molecule: ribosomal RNA, 456 nt
Filed under: uncultured sponge symbiont PAWS71
Lineage: Bacteria
Description: bacterial SSU rRNA
Rfam family: Bacterial small subunit ribosomal RNA
Source: RNAcentral